This is a non-coding RNA of Coturnix japonica (Japanese quail), 1145 nucleotides long. The record is from RefSeq and is a predicted model, not a curated record. Lineage: Eukaryota; Metazoa; Chordata; Aves; Galliformes; Phasianidae.
AAACCUGGCUGCUGCAAGGCCUGAAGUGCAAGGUCUGCCCACCCUGAGUCCGUAAAAUGCAGUAAAAACACACUGAGGCUUCUAAACAGUGCUAUGGCAGUCUGAACGCAUCCACCCCCAAAGCACAACCACCUACAAAAGAACCACCACCCCCUGGCCCUCAGCCCCACAGCCCCCUGAAGUGGGGCCCAUUUCCCAACACAAAAUGAUUCCAACUAAAGAUCAUAUCCAGAUUGAAACACACAGAUGAUUUCCAUUGCAAGGCUAAUGCUUAUGGUGUGCAUAUGACUUCCCUAAUCACUGACAACCUUCUAUUCUGCAUCAGUGACAUGACCUAUGUGAUCCUAAGUACCCUGUGUGGGCUUAACUUAAUAACAGAGAAGGUGAUUUCUUUAGUAACUUUGUUUUGUUCAUGUUUGUUUGUUUAGAUACUUAAACAGUGUAGCUGAACGUUUAGGCUCACAAUGAAAAGCUACACAAAGGAGGGACUUCCAGAAAGAAAUCCUUCCGUGGUGGCAGUCAGACCUUGAAUGGGGUCUAGGAUGUGAAUUGCUUUCACCCGUGCUCCCCUGGCUGACCCAGUCCCCUCCUCAGGUAAUCGAUCAGUGUUUCAGGCCAUGACUCAACAGUCCCCAUACAUGUGGCAUGGCCAAAGCUGUCUAUUGUGAGCUCUGGCUAGCUGGACACCAGUGAGGUUAUGGCCUGAUUUAGCUGGUGAUGGGCGUGCACAGCCCAGAAUUAAGGGUCACAGAAAUGUGCCGUUCCUUAUGGCCUUGCCCGAGUGAUCUUGGCUCCCUGACCUCCUGUGGGACAGACAUCCCCUCUCUCUGCACUGCCAGCUUCAAAUGAACAAGUCACUUGUGUAGAUGAAUGGUUUGGGAGCUUGAGGCGCGCUUUGAGUGAGGUGGGCGUGCGGUGUGAACGCUGCUGAACCUGGUCCUGGGAGGCGGACAGCAAAUGCAGAGCUUCAGAAACAGGGAGAGGCUCUUCUAUUUUUGCAAGCCAAUGUGUUUUGAGAAGAAACACCUGAAACCACAGCAAGUGCAGUGAAGUCAAAACAGUCACUCACUCAAGAGGUCACAAGAAGUUAUGUUUAUUACCUGCAAAUGGGCUCGUUUGCUAUCGAACCACCUUAAAUGUGCUGU